This 253-nucleotide ribosomal RNA is filed under the name uncultured bacterium. RNAcentral's name for it is "partial 16S ribosomal RNA". It matches the Rfam family "Bacterial small subunit ribosomal RNA", at positions 524 to 776 of the family's 1533-position model. The record is from RNAcentral.
UACGAAGGGGGCUAGCGUUGCUCGGAAUGACUGGGCGUAAAGGGCGCGUAGGCGGAUGGCACAGUCAGAUGUGAAAUUCCCGGGCUUAACCUGGGGGCUGCAUUUGAUACGUGUUGUCUAGAGUGAGGAAGAGGGUCGUGGAAUUCCCAGUGUAGAGGUGAAAUUCGUAGAUAUUGGGAGGAACACCAGUGGCGAAGGCGACUACCUGGCCUGUUCUUGACGCUGAGGCGCGAAAGCUAGGGGAGCAAACGGG